RNAcentral lists this long non-coding RNA (355 nucleotides) under Gallus gallus (chicken). RNAcentral describes it as "long non-coding RNA NONGGAT009268". Lineage: Eukaryota; Metazoa; Chordata; Aves; Galliformes; Phasianidae. The record is from RNAcentral.
GCAGCAUUUCAGCUACUGAAGCGUGCUGGCAGCGACCUGCUCACCAGACUGCAAAGGGCAGCCCUGCUAAGAAACAUGCAGACAGAUGUUGCAUAUCCAUCCUGCCAGCAGGUUGUCAGAUGGACAAGCAAGUCACUGUCCCCAGGACAUGUACCGGAUGUGUUUCUGGUCUGAAGAGCAGCCUGGCAGCACACAUGAGACCCCCGAGAAGAUCACCCUGCUGGCACCUGAGAUGAAGGAGGACAGUACUAGUGAUGACACUGCAGCUCUCAGCAGCCUCAGACUGACCCCAGAUCAGCACACCGACCGGGCUCCCCAUUCUCAUCCAAUGGCCAUCCCAGCCUCUUCACUUCAG